UUGGGGCGUGUAAGUCUCUGCCGAAUAUAGCAGCAUACGAGAGGAUCCACUUGUGCUCCUGAUCACACCACCUCCCCUAUUUGGGACUUGUGCCCCACUCCCGCUGUGAGGGCUACACCGAGCUCUGGGGGCCUGUUCGGAUUAACAAGGAGAUCUUGCUAAAGGUAUCUUGGUGCUAAGUUAAGGGAGAUAGUUCGCCAUGGGCUAGGAUCUCUCAGUGCUGGUGACCUUGGGUGAGUGUCUCCCUGUAAAGUGAUAAGGAUGCCUGCUGGAAAGGGUGGUGGGAGGAUUAAGUGCGUUAAAGAGGCCCUCCUCCCAAGCUUUUAGUUGGCCUCCAUUGUGAUCGUGGUUAUUGCUGGGAGUGGCUGCAGGGGGUGGGGGCUGGGCUGCCUCAGAGCUUCCCCCCGCACCAGCCCACCUGCUGAAGCACGUGUCCCUGCCUCAGGGCAAAGGGGAAUCUGGCGCUCCCUGGGAAGGCGGCCAACGCGGUUCUCCUCUGGAGUGGUUGAGUCCAGCUGCAGGCCUUUCCCCAUCCACAGGGGCUGUUCCAUGAUGGGGUCAAGAUUUGGGUCACCCACCCAUGGUCCGGGGAGAAGUGACUCCCCAAGGUCACAAGGCCACCACCAAUAGAGCCAGGAUGGGGUUCCAGGUGGCUUGACUUGGCAGCCAGCGCCUGUGCCCAUGGCACCCCCUCACCCCAGCUGUCUGGGUUAUUUUGGGCUUCCUCCCGUGCCAGCUGUCUGCUGGCAUCCCUGCCCGGGACUGUCUGGUUGGAAGUAACUGGCGUGGUGCUGUUGGCUCCUCCUGUGAGGGCCAGGGCUGGGUCUUCAAUCCCCGAUGAGCCGUGCUGGGUCCAGCUCCUUUGCUGGGAGGGAAGAGUGUUCCUGCCCAGACUCCCCGCUGCCCAAGUACAGCAAGAGGGCGAAAGCACCUGAUAAAAAUUGAGGUUCACAUUGUUAAUAUCCCAAAAGCCUCCUCCUUCUAUACUCCCUGAAACCUGUUUUAAAUUUGGCUCUGCCAUUGAACCCCGUUGCUCUCACGUUACCCUCUGCCGCCCGAGGGUGUGGCGCCUCCCUUUAGAGUCUUCGUUGCUCUCCGGGUGGGGUCUUUACUCCCCACCUGCUUUGGAUAAUUAAGUAAUUGAUGUACGUCUCCCUCCCAGCUGCACCCUGGAGGGCUCCAGCCAGUUUCUCCCCUCCCUGGAUCCAAUCAGUGAGCUGUUGGGUGCUCAGCUGUGGUCUGGAUGUGGUUCUCGGCACGGUGUCGGGACCCACCUGGCUGGACUGUACCCCUCUCUCUCUGCUUUGGUCCCUCUUCUUUCUUUGUCCCCCCACCAUCACCUCUUGGGGCAGGGAGGGUGAGGCAGUUUGUCCUCCUGCUGCUGUUCCUGCUGGUCCCUCGAGGGCGCCCCGCCCACCGGUCACCCAGCGAACGCGGGGCGGGGCCGCUGCUGGCGCUGGGCCCCAGGGCUUGCAGAGAGAGGGCCACGCCAGCGGAAGGGCCGGCCAGGAGGUGGCAGGACUUGCCUUACUACUGAGUCGCCGGCAUCCCCGCCUCUUCCGGCCUCUCCGCCCGGAGCCCUAGCGUGGAACAUGACCUUUCGGACCCUCUGGGUGGAGACACAGCCUCUGCCUGGGCUGUGCAGUGAGGUGGCACCACCAUCUCAGGUCGUCUGGCCCAGUGCAUCUGUAGCUGGCAUGUGACUUCCAGCAAGCUCCUGCCCCUGAGCGCUGGGAGGAGCAGGUCCAGCAAUAAUUUUUUUUUUUUUUUUUUUGAGACAGAGUUUCGCUCUUGUUGCCCAGGCAAUGGUGUGAUCUGGGCUCACCGCAACCUCCGCCUCCAGGGUUCAAGCGAUUCUCCUGCCUCAGCCUCCGAGUAGCUGGGAUUACAGGCAUGUGCCACCACGCCCGGAUAAUUUUGUAUUUUUAGUAGAGACAGGGUUUCUCCAUGUUGGUCAGGCUGGUCUCAAACUGACCUCAGGUGAUCCGCCCACCUCGGCCUCCCAAAGUGCUGGGAUUACAGGCAUGAGCCACCGCGCCUGGCCGGACAAUAAUGUUUUGAGCUGUUGCUGAGUCUGGCUUUUGUGACGGGAACUUUUAGCACUCAAGGAGUGGCCUUGUCUCUGGCCUGUCCCCGAGUGCUCAUGGGCAGCCAAGGCCUGGGGACUGCUCAGGCAGGGUAGAUGUAUUUGCCAGGCCAGCUCCCGUCCCUGGGACCUCAGGGAGUAGCUUCAUCCCUGAAGGCUGAGUGUCUUCUGCCUCAUGUGGGUGGCCCCUCUGCAGGGUUCUCAGGCAUCCAGGGAAGUGGGUGCCACAGCGUUGCCUCCAGCCUCACUGGGGCUGGCUGGACUUUGCUCUGACAACACAGCAGUGGCUGGGCCCCUGCAACUCUCCAGGGCUCAGUUUCCCUGUUGGCCGCACUAUGGCAUAGGCCCCUGUGUGGACACCGAUGAGCUGACCCCACAAAUGCCACCCGGCCGCUCCCCCAGGCUUCAGUGGCCUAACAGCUGUUGUGUCAGGAACCAGCUUAAAGAAUCUUUCUUGCUUUCUCAAACUCUCCAGGAAUUCCUGGUGACUGGAAGGGGGAGUGACUCAGGCCCUCAACCUCUAGCAGGUAAGGGAGCUACCUCCUGGGUGGGCAUGCCCAGUUCCUCAGUGGGCCCAGCGCGGCCCAGCCUCCGAGGAAGCUCUGAGCAGCUGGCUUGGCUCCGAGGUAUUUUUAGCUACAGAUCCAGCCCCCCUCCAUCACCACAACAGUCGAGUCCAAAUCAAACGCGCUCCAGGCAGGUGGGGCUGGGGUUCUGCCAGCCUCCUGGCCAGCAGGGGUGGGUGGGCAGACUGGGGCCAGUAUCAGCUGUUCUGCCUGGACCCAGGCCGGGCUGGGAAGGCACACUUGUGCUUAUUUCCCGCCUCCACUUCUGUGCAAGCUUGUGCUGUCAUAAGCAGAGAUCACAGCCCCAUUUCUUGGAUGGAGAAAGUGGACACUGAGGUCUGAGGCUUUUGAGGACAGUCAGGAGCCCUCCUAUGGGCUCCAGUGAUGCACUCACCAGCUUCUGGUCCUCUUCUUCCACCUCUUAGAGUGCCUUGGCUCCCUCCUGUCGUCCUGGGGAACCUCGGCCCCAGCCCUGCCUCCCCAGCCAGUCACAGCUCCUCCCUGGUCACCCUGAGGGAGCUCAGGGCCCGGCUGGUAGCUGGGUUGCUCUGCUUCUGUCCCCCACUCCUGUGGAGCCUGGCAGGCAACUCCAUGAUCUGACCCCGGUUACCUUGACAGCCCUGCCUGGCCUCCCCUCUCAUGGCCCAGCCACCCCAGAACCUGAAGAGGUUUUCUAGCUGCCGUGCAUUUGCCAGGCUGGGUUACCCACCCUACUUUCCCUGCCUGCCCUCCAGUGCUGCCAGGCCUAGUGUGCCAGCCAGCGCUCAGCCUUCAGUAAAGGGUUCCCCUGCUUCCAACCUCCAUUGCACUGCUUCCCCUAAGACUGUGACCUCCUGGAAGGCUGGAGCACAACUGCCUCUCAAUAAACGUGUUGCAAAAA
RNAcentral lists this long non-coding RNA (3532 nucleotides) under Homo sapiens (human). RNAcentral describes it as "non-protein coding LINC01089:30". Lineage: Eukaryota; Metazoa; Chordata; Mammalia; Primates; Hominidae. The record is from RNAcentral.